RNAcentral lists this ribosomal RNA (253 nucleotides) under uncultured bacterium. RNAcentral's name for it is "partial 16S ribosomal RNA". It matches the Rfam family "Bacterial small subunit ribosomal RNA", at positions 524 to 776 of the family's 1533-position model. The record is from RNAcentral.
UACGUAGGGUGCAAGCGUUGUCCGGAAUUAUUGGGCGUAAAGAGCUCGUAGGCGGUUUGUCGCGUCUGCUGUGAAAACUCGGGGCUUAACCCCGGGCCUGCAGUGGGUACGGGCAGACUAGAGUGCGGUAGGGGAGACUGGAAUUCCUGGUGUAGCGGUGAAAUGCGUAGAUAUCAGGAGGAACACCUGUGGCGAAAGCGGCUCACUGGACCAUAACUGACGCUGAUGCACGAAAGCUAGGGGAGCAAACAGG